Panthera pardus (leopard) is the source of this 173-nucleotide small nuclear RNA. Its record names the gene U2. It matches the Rfam family "U2 spliceosomal RNA". From Rfam's summary of the family: U2 is a small nuclear RNA (snRNA) component of the spliceosome (involved in pre-mRNA splicing). Complementary binding between U2 snRNA (in an area lying towards the 5' end but 3' to hairpin I) and the branchpoint sequence (BPS) of the intron results the bulging out of an unpaired adenosine, on the BPS, which initiates a nucleophilic attack at the intronic 5' splice site, thus starting the first of two transesterification reactions that mediate splicing. The record is from Ensembl. Lineage: Eukaryota; Metazoa; Chordata; Mammalia; Carnivora; Felidae.
AUCGCUUCUUGGCCUUUUGGCUAAGAGCAAGUGUAACAUCUGUUCUUACCAGUUUAAUAAUAGUAUCUAUCUGUUAUGGCUGUUGUAAGGAUGGAUCAAUGCAUAUAAAGGCUGAGACAAUACCUAGGACAUAAUAGCACUUGGUAUAUGAGAGCUACUUUCUCAUAACCGAC